Non-coding RNA from Schistosoma mansoni, 78 nucleotides. Lineage: Eukaryota; Metazoa; Platyhelminthes; Trematoda; Strigeidida; Schistosomatidae. The record is from Rfam.
GGCCUUUUGAAUUCUUGCUGAGAUUCUCUCAGACACAAGACAAUUAGGACUGAUGAGACUCCCAAGAUAAGUGAAGCA